GGCAGUGAAAAUUUUCAAACUUAAAUAAUUGAAAGAGUUUAGCAAUUCCAAAGAAGAACAGAAUUGAAAUCCACUGUUUUGGAUACCAACAAUAAUGGCAGUCUCAUAUCUUAAUGAUUUUAGUAGCUAUCAAAAAGCACCCGAAUUUAUUCAGCAAAACAAGUCAAUUGCCUAAAAUUCCAAUUCUUCGUAAGCUUUACCCACCCAAGGUCAUCAUUUUUCCAUCAUAAACAAUCACUGAGAUGUUGAGCAUUAUUCUUCAAUCAUGCACUUGUAUGAAGCCCUAAAAGCCAAAAAUAUCAGGGCACUUGUUCACUAUCAUAUACAUUAAGUAAAGCAUCUUUACUAUCUUUACCUUGAACCACUUUAUACAUAUUGGCUUUUACCAUGGUCCGUCGUCGGGGUAAUCAAACGGCGUCUCCUGCACCGUUUUGGAAUCGAGCAAAUCAGGGUGCACAAACCCAUACUUCCUCAGCACCUGAUUAUCAGCGAAAUUCAAGGCUCUCACCAUUCCCUUCCAGCAACUGUCUCCUUCGUACAUCUUAUUGUGGUCUCCAUUGCAGGGCUGGCACCCUGUGAAAUGAGUGAUAAAUGGUCUCCUCCAGCUCCCUUUCCCGUUCCCUGUUUCCUGCAAGUGAACCUCCCUAAACGCACCGUAUUGCUCGCUCACUUUCUCCGCAUGUCUCCUCUUCAAUUUCUUGUCCCCUCUCUCUAUCUCUGUGUACCUCUCGGUGAUGUUAUCGUAUGUCGGCACUAUCUCCAACCAAUACCCUUCGAAGUAAUACUCCCCCUCUAGAUAAAUCUUGUCCAUUAAACUCUUAUCUUCGUACAGCAGAUAAAUCAGAGCCGAUUGAUCGUCCGAUUCUGGGAACAACUUGUCUUUGAAUAAGGAACGUUGAAUCUGGCCCCAUCUCUCGUACUCUGGGCUCAUAGGACCCAUCUUGGCCCACUUAUCUAUGAAGUCCAUGGACCAUUGACAGUUUCUGAUCAGGAAAACACCGGCGUUUAGCGCAGUCCAGCUCUUCUCCUCGUAUAUCAACUUCGGCCAGCCGUGGACAACUAGGUUGUGGUUCUUGUAAUCGUAACGGCGUAAUGGAAGUUUGUAUUCCAUGUCGGUGAACAUCGCGUCUGAGUCCACCCACCAGAUCCACUCCGCCUCUGGGUGAGCUAGCAUCGCCGCCCUCACCAUCGGCAGUUUCGCCCAGAAAGUGUGCAUUUUGGGGUGGAGCAGCACGUUGUUGUAGAAGAUAUCGUAGCCGUGGAUUCUGCAGUAGUCCACUUUAUUCUUAAAGAAUCUCAAGACAAAAUGGUCGCCAAUUGGGUUCUUACACGGAGUCGACUGCGAUCCAGUGACCAUCACCACUCGAUCACGAGCGCCGGGUGCGAAAGACCGGUGAUGCCUCAGCCACUCAUUUCUCUUCUGAUCCCAAUCUUUGACAGGCUGCUCGAUGGAAUAUCUGAGCUCCGGAUCGUCGUAGAAGGUUGUAUCAGGAGGGUCAUAGAGGAGGUUAAUCGCCGGGUCUUCCUUUACGCAAGUUUUUGAAUUAGAACCAACCUUAAGGUUGGAAUCAGUGACCUUGGGUUCCGAAGUACCGGAUAUGUCAGGACCGGCAUAAGACCAAAGAGACCAUACGAGUAAAAAAGCAAGCAAAGCACCACCAAGAUAGAGAAAGACAUCACUGAAACAGGAAGAAGCUUUAUUAUUUCUAAAAGUCGAUUUGGCCAUUGUAGAGUAGUGAGAGUUGGAGAGCUCAGCAGCGAGCAUUUUAAGGAAGAGGAUACAGGUAAGAGAGAUAUUUAUAUAAAUUCGUUAAUUUUAGUGAUUUUAUUGACUAAAUUUAACCAUGGAGAUUGGAGUGUCGACUGGGCAAGAAAAAUGUAAUUCAGUCGCAAGAAAUUUGGUGUUUUAUUACAGAGCUCGCUCUGACAGGAGAGUGUUGUGGUGCUGUUUAAUUUCUAAAACGACGAGAGUGAGGCCAUGAGUAAAUAUUCUUUUUAGAUGUCGUUUUAGGAGAUUGACUCGUUGACUGUACAUUUGAGAGAGUGUACCGACAUAGACACUUUUCAAUAAAAACUCGGUUAUUUACGUUAAUUAUGUGGGAUUUACUUGAAAUUAACUUAAAC
This 2124-nucleotide unclassified non-coding RNA is filed under the name Hevea brasiliensis (rubber tree). The record is from RNAcentral. Lineage: Eukaryota; Viridiplantae; Streptophyta; Magnoliopsida; Malpighiales; Euphorbiaceae.